This 468-nucleotide ribosomal RNA is filed under the name uncultured bacterium. Its description in RNAcentral is "partial 16S ribosomal RNA". It matches the Rfam family "Bacterial small subunit ribosomal RNA", at positions 28 to 507 of the family's 1533-position model. The record is from RNAcentral.
GACGAACGCUGGCGGCGUGCUUAACACAUGCAAGUCGAACGGUGAAGCUCCAGCUUGCUGGAGUGGAUCAGUGGCGAACGGGUGAGUAACACGUGAGCAACCUGCCCCUGACUCUGGAAUAAGCGCUGGAAACGGCGUCUAAUACUGGAUACGAGAAGGGUCCGCAUGGGCACUUUCUGGAAAGUUUUUCGGUUGGGGAUGGGCUCGCGGCCUAUCAGCUUGUUGGUGAGGUAAUGGCUCACCAAGGCGACGACGGGUAGCCGGCCUGAGAGGGCGACCGGCAACACUAGGACUGAGACACGGCCCAGACUCCUACGGGAGGCAGCAGUGGGGAAUAUUGCACAAUGGGCGAAAGCCUGAUGCAGCGACGCCGCGUGAGGGAUGACGGCCUUCGGGUUGUAAACCUCUUUCAGCAGGGAAGAAGCGAAAGUGACGGUACCUGCAGAAGAAGCACCGGCUAACUACGUG